RNAcentral lists this ribosomal RNA (482 nucleotides) under uncultured bacterium. RNAcentral's name for it is "partial 16S ribosomal RNA". It matches the Rfam family "Bacterial small subunit ribosomal RNA", at positions 30 to 507 of the family's 1533-position model. The record is from RNAcentral.
AUUGAACGCUGGCGGCAUGCCUUACACAUGCAAGUCGAACGGUAACGGGCCUUCGGGUGCCGACGAGUGGCGAACGGGUGAGUAAUACAUCGGAACGUGCCCGAUCGUGGGGGAUAACGAGGCGAAAGCUUUGCUAAUACCGCAUACGAUCUACGGAUGAAAGCCGGGGACCGCAAGGCCUUGCGCGGACGGAGCGGCCGAUGGGAGAUUAGGUAGUUGGUGGGAUAAAAGCUUACCAAGCCGACGAUCUGUAUCUGGUCUGAGAGGAUGAUCAGCCACACUGGGACUGAGACACGGCCCAGACUCCUACGGGAGGCAGCAGUGGGGAAUUUUGGACAAUGGGCGCAAGCCUGAUCCAGCCAUGCCGCGUGCAGGAUGAAGGCCUUCGGGUUGUAAACUGCUUUUGUACGGAACGAAAAGCCUUCUUUUAAUACAGGAGGGUCAUGACGGUACCGUAAGAAUAAGCACCGGCUAACUACGUG